UACGGAGGAUGCGAGCGUUAUCCGGAUUUAUUGGGUUUAAAGGGUGCGCAGGCGGAUUUUUAAGUCAGCGGUCAAAUCGUGGGGCUCAACCCCAUCCAGCCGUUGAAACUGGGGAUCUAGAGUGUGCGAGAGGUAUGCGGAAUGCGUGGUGUAGCGGUGAAAUGCAUAGAUAUCACGCAGAACUCCGAUUGCGAAGGCAGCAUACCGGUGCACAACUGACGCUCAGGCACGAAAGCGUGGGUAUCGAACAGG
This 252-nucleotide ribosomal RNA is filed under the name uncultured bacterium. Its description in RNAcentral is "partial 16S ribosomal RNA". It matches the Rfam family "Bacterial small subunit ribosomal RNA", at positions 524 to 776 of the family's 1533-position model. The record is from RNAcentral.